Long non-coding RNA from Phacochoerus africanus (Common warthog), 1225 nucleotides. RefSeq lists it as uncharacterized. The transcript has 3 exons. NCBI's taxonomy places the organism in Eukaryota, Metazoa, Chordata, Mammalia, Artiodactyla, Suidae. The record is from RefSeq and is a predicted model, not a curated record.
UUCAUGAGGAUGGACAGGAGAAGAUCCUGCCUUUGGAUACGGAGGGAAACACUGGAGGGAGAAGUCUAUGCAGUGGAGUUGAGGAAGAUCAGUCACCCACUUCUUGGCCUCCCUUCAGCAUCUAUUCAGGCAGCUCCAUUACCUUCCAUGGAUAGUCUCUUCUUUGGCCCUGGAAAAAGCAGGAAAAAAAAUGGUAUGUCUCCCGCGAUCGUCCCUUCCGCCAGGGCAACCGGAUCAAUAACGCUGGCGCCCGCUCUCCGUCGGUGCCACCUGCGGCCGCGGAGCCGGCCCUGUCACAGCAUCCCUGUGGCAGAGGAAGACCACGGCUGCAUCCCCAGAGGCUGCGAAAGCCAUCGCCUAAGAACUCUCUGUUGUCUCGCUUGCGUCCUGCAGGCGGUUCCAUAAGUGGUGGCAACCCAGUGGCGGGGCUGCCUCCCUAAAUCUCACCUGCCUGACCUCAGCUUGACAACGUCUUAACAGGCGCAGAGAACCAUCAAGGCUCCGUGCGGAGCCAGGCGCUCCAUCAGCCUCUCGGCAGAUGUCGGGGCCCAGGGCCGGAUGCGGAGUGGGGAGCGCGAGACAGGCCCAGAGACACAGCCUCCUGCAUCCCUAUGGAGAAGAAAGACUGGAGCUGGAAACUCAGGGAUGCUUGCCUUCCUCUGGACACAGGCAGGCGAGCUAAGCUGUGUGGCUGCAGGGGCUGCCCUGGCCCCCAGCUGCUGGAGGAGUCCAGCAGCAUCUGUAAACCCAGACGGAGGCUCUCGGUGUCCCUGGCUCUCUCUGCAUCGGGCCCUCAUGCUGAUGGUGAUGAAGCUUCGCCAGACGCUCGGGAGAAUCUUUCCCUGGGAUGAGGAUUAACCGUGGCUAUUAGUGCUUGUGCAGGGGGAGCCUCCCCUCCCCUCAGCAGAAGUGCGUGCUUCCUGGGGAUUAGGCGUUAAUGUUUCUGGAACAACAGUGUCAGCUUCUCCAGGUUUGGGGGUCUGUUCCAGGGCUCCCAUGAGCCCCCUGGCUGCGGUUCCACUUGGAUCAGGGUUUGCCAUUAAAUGCAAUGAGGAGCCUGGGCCAUUUAUCACAGUGAAUCCAGUGCCUAAAUCUGGGAGGAAAUGGUCACUGCUCCAAAUCAGAUCUGAGUCUCUCUGCCAGGAACCGAGUCGGGCUCGCUCGGCUGGAUUCUUGGGCUGAGUUGUUAUCCGUUUGUAAAAAUAAAUGCUAUUCAUUUAACUUC